RNAcentral lists this unclassified non-coding RNA (287 nucleotides) under Hevea brasiliensis (rubber tree). The record is from RNAcentral. Lineage: Eukaryota; Viridiplantae; Streptophyta; Magnoliopsida; Malpighiales; Euphorbiaceae.
AUAUCUGCCAGGUUUUUAUAUCAUAUGGAAGGAAAUCUAAUGGAGAACUUUUGCUUUCAUAUGGAUUUGUUCCUAAAGAAGGGACCAAUCCAAGCGACUCAGUUGAGGUGUCAUUGGCACUUAAGAAAUCUGACAAAUGUUACAAAGAGAAGGUGGAAGCUCUAAAGAAGCAUGGAUUAUCAGCAUCAGAAUGUUUUCCAGUACAAGUUACUGGUUGGCCACUGGAGUUGAUGGCUUUUGCUUAUCUAGUGGUCAGUCCACCUAGCAUGAGCAGACAGUUUGAAGAG